Molecule: long non-coding RNA, 1236 nt
Organism: Branchiostoma floridae (Florida lancelet)
Lineage: Eukaryota; Metazoa; Chordata; Leptocardii; Amphioxiformes; Branchiostomatidae
Exons: 3
Source: RefSeq, a predicted model, not a curated record
GAGUCAUGUUUGAACCCCGUUUGAGCGUGCGUGCUCCGAGUCACGUGAUCUUCGUUUUGCGAACAAUAGACAAGCGUCCGGGGGUACUCUGACCCAGUUCUCCCGCCUGAUACACACAAAAUGCCGCGAGUCUAAGAAGAGUUUUUCCCGAGGAUAAUGUUGGUGCACGUAGCCGGGCCAGUAGUUUCGCCUCAAGGUAUCUGGAAGACGAGGAACCACCCCAGCUGACCCAGUUCAGCAGCGGAGGGAUAUGGAUGUACAUGUAUAUCAGAAAAGACAACCGCCGAACUUAUCAGUUGGAGACGAAACGCGGCUCGAAGAGGUCAUGGCUUCGGUAGAAGUCAGAUCAAACCGCCGUGGUCUCCAGGGCUCCAUCGACUGCCUUGCUGAUGGCAGGACUUAACCAGUCAGUGUGAUGUGAGUGAGUGCGCCUGAUGAAAGCGCAGACAUAGGGGUGUAAUCAGUGCAGACUUGUUGGAAUAUAUCAAUCAGCCAAGGUGAUCAAGUUGAGAUGAGUGUGUGUUUGUUCUCCUAAGAGCGACCGCUAUUUUCAGUAUCAGUGUAUCCGUUAAGUAUUUGAAACGGGCGAUGUGAUCUCUGUAUUUUCUCUCGAUCCCAACAGACUAAUGAUACAUAUAGGACACGAGUGACAACGUCGAGGUGUUCCGCCACAACUUGCACAGGGACUCCUACCACGACAGGGAAAAUCAGUCGAGUCCUUCCACUGCAAGUCGGUGAGACGAGAUGCAUCACUGGAGGAGCCGGAAUAGACGUCCGCGUGCCUUAUAAAGUCGGGAAGGAGGGGAGCCACACAUCACCCAGAACAGCACCGUCGACAUGAGGAAGACAACGAGAGGAGAGUGCCAGACCAGUAGCAGAUCUAGAAUAGCCAAUCGAUUGCGCUGCUACAACCAUAGUGAACCUAAAACUAGUUAGAGAAUUCACGGACUGGUUUUGAGGUGAUUUAUACCAUUACUAUGCAUUUAGUGUACCGGGUAUACAUUGCAGUAGAAGUUGAGUGUGCAUGUAAAUCAAAGAACCGUACAUAAGGUUAACCUCAGCGACGACGGACCGAAUCAAACCGGAGAUGGAUGUAGUUAAGGAGAGAACGGCCAUAGAAAUGUUCAGUACAAUUAUUCUGUAUCCAACCUGUGACCGAAGUUAGCGGGGUCAGCAUUAUGUAGUAACGUCAAAACACUUUAACAGUGUCCCGUGCCAAGUGUACGGAAAACCUUG